This 253-nucleotide ribosomal RNA is filed under the name uncultured bacterium. Its description in RNAcentral is "partial 16S ribosomal RNA". It matches the Rfam family "Bacterial small subunit ribosomal RNA", at positions 524 to 776 of the family's 1533-position model. The record is from RNAcentral.
UACGUAGGGUGCAAGCGUUGUCCGGAAUUAUUGGGCGUAAAGAGCGUGUAGGCGGCCCGAUUAGUCCGCUGUGAAAGUCCAGGGCUCAACCCUGGAAUGCCGGUGGAUACUGUCGGGCUAGAGUCCGGAAGGGGCGAGUGGAAUUCCUGGUGUAGCGGUGAAAUGCGUAGAUAUCAGGAGGAACACCUGUGGUGUAGACAGCUUACUGGACCACUUCUGACGCUGAGGCACGAAAGCGUGGGUAGCAAACAGG